Molecule: microRNA, 18 nt
Filed under: Homo sapiens (human)
Lineage: Eukaryota; Metazoa; Chordata; Mammalia; Primates; Hominidae
Description: hsa-miR-4302
Source: miRBase by way of RNAcentral
CCAGUGUGGCUCAGCGAG